This is an RNA transcript of Austrofundulus limnaeus, 4276 nucleotides long. It is a transcript of the gene named cytochrome P450 2C70, with no coding region annotated. The record is from RefSeq and is a predicted model, not a curated record. Lineage: Eukaryota; Metazoa; Chordata; Actinopteri; Cyprinodontiformes; Rivulidae. The transcript has 2 exons.
GGGGGGCAUUUAAGCUCUUUUUGGCCGGUUUUGAGCAUUUUCCACAGGACGAAGGUUGAUUUUGACUAAUUUUGACAGUUUUUGUUAGGCCCCCAUUGACAGGUUUAACCCUGUUCAGAGUGGUUUUGAAGGGUCAGCGGCCCUCCUGGUUCCUCCGAACCCGGGUUUUGCGCGGUUUUGAAGGGUUGGCUGCCUUCCUAUGCCCCCUUAGCCUGGUUCUAAGUGGUUUUUUACAGUUUUGAAGUGUUUCGAAUUUAUUGGUUGCAUUUUUUUGCGGUUCUAAGCUAUAUUCAGGGGUUUGCAAUUAAUCAGGUAUGAUUUUUUGCAUUUUUGARGGGUUUCCGGGCCUCCGGGAGCUGUUUCAGCAAGAAUACUCAUGUUUUGGCCCACCGUGAACCCGUUUCCGAGGGUCUGGAGCCCAUGUCUUGCCCCCGAAUGCCAUUUUGGUCUACAUACACCCAUUUUGGCACACUGUGAAUCCAACUGAGCUGCUUUUGGAGCCCUAUCUACCUAUCUUGUACUAGUUUCACGGGGUUCUUUCUCCAUCAGACCGAUUGGACACCGAGACAUGCCUUUGCAGGACACCCUCCGGCCCCGGCCCCACAACGGUCAGUGCACGGGAGACGGGUGUCUGCACACUAGUGUGUUUGCCUCUAGAGUAUGGCUACCACUGGCAAGCGCACCUGCCACGGCCCAAGACUCGAACUAUUGGUGACGGGACCGAGCGGAAGACUGAGUCUCAGCGGUACUUACACAGAUCCUGGAAAUGAAGGUGUCCUGCCUGUGUCCUGCCCAUUGCCCUCUGGUGGUGGACGCUACCUGAUUGAUCCUGCCAGUAGCAUAUGCUUGUCUCAAAGAUUAAGGCAUGCACAUCUAAGUACACAUGGCUGGUACAGUGAAACCGCGAAUGGCUCAUUAAACCAGUUUUUGCUCCUUUGAUCAUUCACCGGUACUUGGAUAAUUUUGGCAAUUCUAGGGCUAAUACAUGCAAACGAGCGCUGACCUCCGGGGAUGCGUGCAUUGAUCAGAUCUAAAACCCUUGCGGGGUGGUCUCCCGGCUAUAACCCCAUUGCUUUGGUGACUCUAGAUAACCUCGAGCUAAUCGCUAGCCCCCUUGGUGGCGACAUCUCUUUCGGGUGUCUGCUCUAUGGCACGCCACAUGCCUGCCAUGGUUACAACGGGUAAUGGGGAAUCAGGGUUCAAUUCCAGAGAGGGAGCCUGAGAAACGACUUCCACAUCCAAGGAAGGCAGCAGGCGCACAAAUUACCCACUCCCAAUUCGGGGAGGUAGUGAUGAAAAAUAAUAAUACAGGACUUUUGAGGUCCUGUAAUUGGAAUGAGUGCACUUUAAAUCAUUUAAUGGGGAUCCAUUGGAGGGCAAGUCUGGCGCCAGCAGAAGCGGUAAUUCCAGCUCCAAUAGCUUCUUAUCUUAAAGUUGCUGCAGUUAAAAAGCUCGUAGUUGGAUCUCGGGAUCGGGCUGAUGGCUCGUAUCGAGGCGUGCCAUGCCACUGUCUGUCCCAGCCCCUGCCUCUCGGCACCCCCCGGAUGCUCUUACCUGAGUGUCCAGCCGGAGUCCGAAGCGUUUACUUAGAAAAAAUUAGAGUGUUCAAAGCAGGCCCGGUUUCCUGAAUACCGCAGCUAGGACUAAUGGAAUAGGACUCCGGUUCUAUUUUGUGGGUUUUCCCCGAACUGAACAUGAUUAAGAGAGACCAUUCGUAUUGUGCCGCCAGAGGUGAAAUUCUUGGACCGGCGCAAGACAGACGAAAGGGAUAGCAUUUGUCAAGAAUGUUUUCAUUAUUGAAGAACGAAAGUCGGAGGUUCGAAGACAAUCAGAUACCAUUGUAGUUCCGAUCAUAAACGAUGUCGACUAGCGAUCCGGUGGCGCUACUCACCAUGACCCGCCGGGCAGCAUCUGGGAAACCAAAGUCUUUGGGUUCCAGGGGAGUAUGGUUGCAAAGCUGAAACUUAAAGGAAUUGAUGGUAGGGCACCACCAGGAGUGGAGUCUGUGGCUUAAUUUUACUCAACAUGGGAAACCUCACCCGGUCCAGAAAUGGAAAGGAUUGACAGAUUGAUAGCUCUUUCUCAAUAUUGUCGGUGGUGGUGGUGCAUGGCCAGCGCGUGUCUACCCUUAACCGAGAGGCGUGGGUAACCUGCUGAACCCCGCUCAUGAUGGGGAUUGGUGAUUGCAACUAUUUCCCAUGAACGAGGAAUUAAGUGCGGGUCAUAAGCUUGCGUUGAUUAAGUCCCUACCCUUUGUACAGAUUGCCCAUCGCUACUACCAAUUGGAUGGUUUAGUGAGGUCCUCGGAUCGGCCCCCGGGUAUCGGCAAUGGUCCCUGCGGAGGGCUGAGAAGACGAUUAAACUUGACUAUCUAGAGGAAGUUAAAGCCAUAACAAGGUUUCCAUAGGUGAACCUAUGGAAGGAUCAUUACCGUUGUUUGAGAGCCGAGACCCACUUGCAGGGCACUGGACUGUGGAGUACCACCCACCUGGGGUCAAGCUGCUCGUUGUCCCUACCAAGCGCUCUGGCCUGGAGCGGCCGUCGGUUGUGUGGCCCGUCGUCGACCACCUGGGGUGGACUUCCACUACUGGACUGAGGGGCGGCGGACCCGCAUCAGUGAUGCUCUGGGCCAUAAGAGCACCCACGGGUCCACAGUGAAGGUCGUAGAACAUGCCCCUCCGUUGCCCGGAACACGUCAGGGGCCCCGGGCGAUGUGAGCGCGCCCCGUGAGACGUGCCCCUCCGUCAUCCGGAGCCCCUCAUGGGCCCCGGGCAAUGCGAGCGUGCCCCCUUCUCUCUACCACAGUCUCCUAGUCUGGGCACUGCUGCCUGCUGGACUCACGAGUUGCACGUCCAACGCCGCCUCCGCACUGCGCGAGGCCCACUACCACAUUACCCCGGGUUGGAGGGGGAUCGUAGGAUGUGGGCCUCGCAUGGAGACUGGCGAUGGGCGACUGCGCCCCACGACUCAGCCAGAGUCUACCCUAGGAACCUGAAAACGCAGCAUGGUGGACAGCAUCCACUCCGGCUGAACACCGCGUGCCUCCAUGGGUGCCCUUACUCUCUCCCUCAGCCUGGAAGAAGAGAGGGGCUUAAUACCUCCUCCCUGCCCCUUCCGGGGCGUAGUGUGGAGUGCCCGGGAGAUGGGAAGACCCGGUUAAACCUUUGUCUCAGAUCCCGGUCAACCUCAAAAUCUCAGACAACUUCUAGCGGUGGAUUACUCAGCUCGUGAGUCGAUGAAGGACGCAGCCAGCUGUGAGAACUAAUGUGAUUUGCAGGACACAUUGACCAUCAACACUUCGAAUGCACCUUGCGGCCCCGGGUCCAUCCUGGGGCUUCGCGUGUCUGAGGGUCGCUCGGUCAUCAAUCAGACACGGCUUGCCGUGACCGCGGUUGGGGCUUUGCAGGUAGAGGGCUUGUCUUCACACCUUUGUCCCCCUAAGUGCAGACAUGUCGGGUUGCCCAGCACGCAAUCGUCUGGCCCCAUCCGGGACCGUACCUCCAUCGUCCGCAAUGCCUCCGUUCCAUUUUCCCUCCCUCCUCGACCCGGUCUCUGACCGGUGCAGGAGGGGCGGCUUCUUCGUCGAGCUCCUGCACGAGGCGCAGAUCGGCCGCCAGUGGAACUUGUUCCUCCUAGUUGUCUGUUUCUGCUUCCCGAACGCACAGGCUGUCUCGGCGGAGGUGUUGUGGGUAGGACUGCAGGGGAAGCUCCAGUGUGGGCAAUGUGUCGGACCCUAGGUAGGCCACGUCAUCUCUCCGGAACAAACGUCCCGUUGCCCCUGAGUCAGUGAGCCUCCAGCCCUCCCCGGAGGGUCCCUGAGCCACGCACACAAACCCUAUCCAAUGACCUCAGAUCAGACAAGAUGACCCGCUGAAUUUAAGCAUAUUACUAAGUGGAGGAAAAGAAACUAACAAGGAUUCCCUCAGUAGCGGCGAGCGAAGAGGGAAGAGCCCAGCGCUGAAUCCCCGUCCAUCUGGCGGACGCGAGACAUGUGGCAUACAGGAGACCGCCUGCCCAGUGCACUUGAGGGUCUGAGUCCUCUUGACUGACGCUCAACCCGUGGAAGGUGCGAGGCCAAUGUCGGCCCUCGGCACACUGGGCUCCGGUCUCCUCGGAGUCGGGUUGUUUGGGAAUGCAGCCCAAAGCCAGUGGUAAACUCCAUCUAAGGCUAAAUACCGUGACGAGACCGAUAGCAGACAAGAGUGAUUCUAGCCGAUUAUGGGCCUGUUUGGAGGGAACAUCGUUGUUUUGCAGUGAUGACUCUGAGAAACUUUGG